Peromyscus maniculatus bairdii (prairie deer mouse) is the source of this 149-nucleotide non-coding RNA. NCBI's taxonomy places the organism in Eukaryota, Metazoa, Chordata, Mammalia, Rodentia, Cricetidae. The record is from RefSeq and is a predicted model, not a curated record.
AGAUAUGGACCACUGGCCAUGAAGAAGGCCCAGCGGUAAUGGACUCCUUGCCAGAAAUGCUAGAAGGAAGAAAAUAGUCAUGGUCCUCAUCGUGUGGCCCAGGCUGCGCUCAACAGCCGUGUCUUUAUGAGAGGUGAGUAGGACAUUAU